RNAcentral lists this ribosomal RNA (1254 nucleotides) under Triticum aestivum (bread wheat). RNAcentral's name for it is "partial small subunit ribosomal RNA". The record is from RNAcentral. Lineage: Eukaryota; Viridiplantae; Streptophyta; Magnoliopsida; Poales; Poaceae.
AUGAGCUCACAAGUCUCCACAUCGCGGGGUUUACAUCCCCCAGAGAAAAUUAUGGCAUACGAGUCCCCUCCCACAUGGCCACUGUCGGUGCCUACGAGCAAGGCUGAGGCAGGUAGCAGCGAUGACCAGGAGGUUAGGCUGUUGUCGGUUUCUUGGAAUCAGGAUUGUGGUUGCUUCGCUGCUGGCACAAGCAAUGGCUUCAGAAUCUUUAACUGCGACCCUUUUAAGGAGACUUUCAGGAGGGAUCUGAAGAGUGGUGGGUUUGGGAUAGUUGAGAUGCUGUUCCGCUGCAACAUCCUUGCUCUUGUAGGUGGCGGCUCCAAUAUGCAUUAUCCGCCCAACAAGGUGAUGAUCUGGGAUGAUCACCAGAGCCGCUGUAUUGGGGAGUUUACCUUCCGCUCUGAUGUACGGGCCGUAAAAUUGGGGAAAGAUAACAUUGUGAUUGUCCUUGAGACAAAGAUAUAUGUUUAUAACUUUACGGAUCUGAAGAUGCUCCAUCAGAUAGAGACCCUGUCAAAUCCUAAAGGACUGUGCUGUCUCUCUCAUCAUUCCAAUACUUCAGUGCUGGCCUGUCCUGGGCUGAGUCAGGGACAUGUUCGGGUAGAGCAUUUUGGGCUAAAGGUGACAAAGAUGAUUACAGCCCAUGAUUCACACAUUUCUUGCAUGGCCUUGACUAUGGAUGGUCUCUUGCUGGCAACGGCAAGUAUGAAGGGUACUCUAAUCAGAAUAUUUAACACGAUGGAUGGCACUCGCCUGCAAGAGGUGCGCAGAGGUCUUGAUAAAGCCGAGAUAUACAGCAUUGCACUGUCACCAAAUGUGCAAUGGUUGGCAGUGUCCAGCGACAAAGGAACGGUUCAUAUAUUCAGUCUAAAAGUCAGGGUUGCGGGUGAAGAUUCAAGUAAUGAUCAGCGUACCCUUGAAGCUCCACGGAUGGAUCAUCAGAAUUCUUCUACCUCUAUGGAUCCUCUUAUACAAACAAACACUGGAUCCAAUGCAAGCUCAUCACUGUCUUUCAUGAAAGGGAUUCUGCCGAAGUACUUCAGUUCAGAGUGGUCAUUUGCUCAGUUCCAUUUGCCGGAAGUCACACGUUACAUCGUAGCUUUCGGCGCUCAAAACACUGUAAUGAUGGUUGGCCUGGAUGGCAGCUUCUACAGGUGCAUCUUUGACCAAGUAAGCGGCGGGCAGAUGACCCAGAAGGAAUACUCACGGUUUCUGAAGACUGACUACCCUCCCUUGAGGACAUUGACCGCGUAA